UAACGGCUUACCAAGACAAUGAUACGUAGCCGACCUGAGAGGGUAAUCGGCCACAUUGGGACUGAGACACGGCCCAAACUCCUACGGGAGGCAGCAGUAGGGAAUCUUCCACAAUGGACGAAAGUCUGAUGGAGCAACGCCGCGUGAGUGAAGAAGGUUUUAGGAUCGUAAAACUCUGUUGUUGGAGAAGAACAGGGACUAGAGUAACUGUUAGUCCUUUGACGGUAUCCAACCAGAAAGCCACGGCUAACUACGUGCCAGCAGCCGCGGUAAUACGUAGGUGGCAAGCGUUGUCCGGAUUUAUUGGGCGUAAAGCGAGCGCAGGCGGUUUUUUAAGUCUGAUGUGAAAGCCUUCGGCUUAACCGAAGAAGUGCAUUAGAAACUGGGAAACUUGAGUGCAGAAGAGGACAGUGGAACUCCAUGUGUAGCGGUGAAAUGCGUAGAUAUAUGGAAGAACACCAGUGGCGAAGGCGGCUGUCUGGUCUGUAACUGACGCUGAGGCUCGAAAGUAUGGGGAGCGAACAGGAUUAGAUACCCUGGUAGUCCAUACCGUAAACGAUGAAUGCUAAGUGUUGGAGGGUUUCCGCCCUUCAGUGCUGCAGCUAACGCAUUAAGCAUUCCGCCUGGGGAGUACGACCGCAAGGUUGAAACUCAAAGGAAUUGACGGGGGCCCGCACAAG
Molecule: ribosomal RNA, 680 nt
Filed under: Loigolactobacillus coryniformis
Lineage: Bacteria; Bacillati; Bacillota; Bacilli; Lactobacillales; Lactobacillaceae
Description: bacterial SSU rRNA
Rfam family: Bacterial small subunit ribosomal RNA
Source: RNAcentral